RNAcentral lists this ribosomal RNA (254 nucleotides) under uncultured bacterium. Its description in RNAcentral is "partial 16S ribosomal RNA". It matches the Rfam family "Bacterial small subunit ribosomal RNA", at positions 524 to 776 of the family's 1533-position model. The record is from RNAcentral.
UACGUAGGGUGCAAGCGUUGUCCGGAAUUAUUGGGCGUAAAGAGCUCGUAGGCGGUUUGUCGCGUCUGCUGUGAAAACUCGGGGGCUUAACCCCGGGCCUGCAGUGGGUACGGGCAGACUAGAGUGCGGUAGGGGAGACUGGAAUUCCUGGUGUAGCGGUGAAAUGCGCAGAUAUCAGGAGGAACACCGGUGGCGAAGGCGGGUCUCUGGGCCGUAACUGACGCUGAGGAGCGAAAGCGUGGGGAGCGAACAGG